RNAcentral lists this long non-coding RNA (306 nucleotides) under Androctonus crassicauda. The record is from RNAcentral. Lineage: Eukaryota; Metazoa; Arthropoda; Arachnida; Scorpiones; Buthidae.
GGUGUUUCCGUGGAUGCGGGAGUUCUUGGGAUGGAUGGUCGUUGAGCAGUUUUUCUUUCGUUUCAGCGGCAUGCAUUUCCGUGGCUUCGGCGAGGGGGGCGUGCCUUUCUUUUUCAAACGAUCUGGUUGCUGUUGCUGCUUGCCAAUUCACUGUUGUAUCCUUCUCAUGGGCUGCUGGGGCUGGGGCUGUGCUGGUUUUCCCUUUCUCCAAGUCAUUCCUGUGUUCGUUGGGCCGUUGGCUGGGGACUCUGUUGGUUGCACCUGUGUGGACUUCUUCUUCUUCCGUGGUGUUGUUCUUUGCAGGUA